UACGAAGGGGGCUAGCGUUGUUCGGAUUUACUGGGCGUAAAGCGCACGUAGGCGGGUCGUUAAGUCGAGGGUGAAAUCCUGGAGCUCAACCGUGUGGUCUGCAGUCGAUACGGGCAGGCUGGAGUUCGGUAGGGGAGACUGGAAUUCCUGGUGUAGCGGUGAAAUGCGCAGAUAUCAGGAGGAACACCGGUGGCGAAGGCGGCUACCUGGACGGUUACUGACGCUGAGGAGCGAAAGCGUGGGGAGCGAACAGG
This 254-nucleotide ribosomal RNA is filed under the name uncultured bacterium. RNAcentral describes it as "partial 16S ribosomal RNA". It matches the Rfam family "Bacterial small subunit ribosomal RNA", at positions 524 to 776 of the family's 1533-position model. The record is from RNAcentral.